Molecule: ribosomal RNA, 1491 nt
Filed under: metagenome
Description: bacterial SSU rRNA
Rfam family: Bacterial small subunit ribosomal RNA
Source: RNAcentral
AGAGUUUGAUCCUGGCUCAGAUUGAACGCUGGCGGCAUGCCUUACACAUGCAAGUCGAACGGCAGCACGAGAGCUUGCUCUUGGUGGCGAGUGGCGAACGGGUGAGUAAUAUAUCGGAACGUACCCUAGAGUGGGGGAUAACGUAGCGAAAGUUACGCUAAUACCGCAUACGAUCUACGGAUGAAAGUGGGGGAUCGCAAGACCUCAUGCUCAUGGAGCGGCCGAUAUCUGAUUAGCUAGUUGGUGGGGUAAAAGCUCACCAAGGCGACGAUCAGUAGCUGGUCUGAGAGGACGGCCAGCCACACUGGAACUGAGACACGGUCCAGACUCCUACGGGAGGCAGCAGUGGGGAAUUUUGGACAAUGGGCGCAAGCCUGAUCCAGCAAUGCCGCGUGAGUGAAGAAGGCCUUCGGGUUGUAAAGCUCUUUUGUCAGGGAAGAAACGGUGGACUCUAAUACAGAUCACUAAUGACGGUACCUGAAGAAUAAGCACCGGCUAACUACGUGCCAGCAGCCGCGGUAAUACGUAGGGUGCAAGCGUUAAUCGGAAUUACUGGGCGUAAAGCGUGCGCAGGCGGUUGUGCAAGACAGAUGUGAAAUCCCCGGGCUCAACCUGGGAAUUGCAUUUGUGACUGCACGGCUAGAGUGUGUCAGAGGGGGGUAGAAUUCCACGUGUAGCAGUGAAAUGCGUAGAGAUGUGGAGGAAUACCGAUGGCGAAGGCAGCCCCCUGGGAUAACACUGACGCUCAUGCACGAAAGCGUGGGGAGCAAACAGGAUUAGAUACCCUGGUAGUCCACGCCCUAAACGAUGUCUACUAGUUGUCGGGUCUUAAUUGACUUGGUAACGCAGCUAACGCGUGAAGUAGACCGCCUGGGGAGUACGGUCGCAAGAUUAAAACUCAAAGGAAUUGACGGGGACCCGCACAAGCGGUGGAUGAUGUGGAUUAAUUCGAUGCAACGCGAAAAACCUUACCUACCCUUGACAUGUCUGGAAUCCUUGAGAGAUCAGGGAGUGCUCGAAAGAGAAUCAGAACACAGGUGCUGCAUGGCUGUCGUCAGCUCGUGUCGUGAGAUGUUGGGUUAAGUCCCGCAACGAGCGCAACCCUUGUCAUUAGUUGCUACGAAAGGGCACUCUAAUGAGACUGCCGGUGACAAACCGGAGGAAGGUGGGGAUGACGUCAAGUCCUCAUGGCCCUUAUGGGUAGGGCUUCACACGUCAUACAAUGGUACAUACAGAGGGCCGCCAACCCGCGAGGGGGAGCUAAUCCCAGAAAGUGUAUCGUAGUCCGGAUUGUAGUCUGCAACUCGACUACAUGAAGUUGGAAUCGCUAGUAAUCGCGGAUCAGCAUGUCGCGGUGAAUACGUUCCCGGGUCUUGUACACACCGCCCGUCACACCAUGGGAGCGGGUUUCACCAGAAGUGGGUAGCCUAACCGCAAGGAGGGCGCUCACCACGGUGGGAUUCGUGACUGGGGUGAAGUCGUAACAAGGUA